Molecule: long non-coding RNA, 483 nt
Organism: Pipistrellus kuhlii (Kuhl's pipistrelle)
Lineage: Eukaryota; Metazoa; Chordata; Mammalia; Chiroptera; Vespertilionidae
Exons: 2
Source: RefSeq, a predicted model, not a curated record
CAAGUAUCUAUUAUGCUAUUUUUCUAUAAAGUAUUUCUUGUAAUGACUAUAUAUUUGAAGAAGGAGGGUUUCUCUUUCUAGAUUUCUUCGGCUCACUGAUGAAGACCGAAUGAUAGAAUUAGAAUGCCCUCAUCAUGCACCCCCCAAUGUUAAAGAGUAGCAGCUGAGGACGCCCAGGCAUUAGGAGCUCCCUGAUGAAAGAAUACAUUAGAGCCACCCCACCCAGCUGCUCCCAGACCCUGACCUUUAGGCUCAGUGUGAGGAGACUUGGAGUUACUAACUGAGGGAGAGAAAGAGAGCAGAGCAGCCAAGGACUGACUUUCCAGAAAGCAGGACAGGAAGUCAGCCGACAGAAAGGUAUAUAGAGCAAGUGACACCCUGGAGAGGCUAGAGGUAAGCAACCUGGAUUCCUGCUUGUUUUCACCCUUGUUGUGAGUAGGGUGCUGUUGGUUUGUUUGCACUGGAAGUAAAAAGUAGAAUUCA